UGGGGAAUCUUGCACAAUGGGGGCAACCCUGAUGCAGCGACGCCGCGUGAGCGAUGAAGCCCUUCGGGGCGUAAAGCUCUUUCGACCGGAACGAUAAUGACGGUACCGGGAGAAGAAGCUGCGGCUAACUACGUGCCAGCAGCCGCGGUAAUACGUAGGCAGCAAGCGUUGUUCGGAGUUACUGGGCGUAAAGAGUGCGUAGGCGGUUUUCUAAGUUCGGUGUGAAAUCUCCCGGCUUAACUGGGAGGGUGCGCCGAAGACUGGGAAGCUGGAGUGUGGGAAGGGCAGGCGGAAUUCCUGGUGUAGCGGUGAAAUGCGUAGAUAUCAGGAGGAACACCGGCGGUGUAGACGGCUUGCUAGACCAUAACUGACGCUGAGGCACGAAAGCGUGGGUAGCAAACA
This 402-nucleotide ribosomal RNA is filed under the name uncultured bacterium. RNAcentral describes it as "bacterial SSU rRNA". It matches the Rfam family "Bacterial small subunit ribosomal RNA", at positions 355 to 774 of the family's 1533-position model. The record is from RNAcentral.